CCUACGGGAGGCAGCAGUGGGGAAUUUUCCGCAAUGGGCGAAAGCCUGACGGAGCAACGCCGCGUGGGGGAUGAAGGUCUUCGGAUUGUAAACCCCUGUCAUGUGGAAUGAAAUAUAAUUGCUUUAAUAAAGCGGUUAUUUGACAGUACCACAAGAGGAAGCCACGGCUAACUCCGUGCCAGCAGCCGCGGUAAUACGGAGGUGGCAAGCGUUGUUCGGAAUUACUGGGCGUAAAGAGCGCGUAGGCGGUAAAGCAAGUCAGAUGUGAAAUCCCCUGGCUCAACCAGGGAAUUGCGUUUGAUACUGCUUUACUUGAGUACAAAAGAGGAGAAUGGAAUUCCCGGUGUAGCGGUGAAAUGCGUAGAUAUCGGGAGGGACACCAGUGGCGAAGGCGGCCUUCUGGUCUGCCCCUGACACUCAGGCGCGAAAGCGUGGGGAGCAAACAGGAUUAGAUACCCCAGUAGU
RNAcentral lists this ribosomal RNA (465 nucleotides) under uncultured bacterium. RNAcentral's name for it is "partial 16S ribosomal RNA". It matches the Rfam family "Bacterial small subunit ribosomal RNA", at positions 338 to 794 of the family's 1533-position model. The record is from RNAcentral.